GACGAACGCUGGCGGCGUGCCUAAUACAUGCAAGUAGAACGCUGAAGACUUUAGCUUGCUAAAGUUGGAAGAGUUGCGAACGGGUGAGUAACGCGUAGGUAACCUGCCUACUAGCGGGGGAUAACUAUUGGAAACGAUAGCUAAUACCGCAUAACAGCAUUUAACCCAUGUUAGAUGCUUGAAAGGAGCAAUUGCUUCACUAGUAGAUGGACCUGCGUUGUAUUAGCUAGUUGGUGAGGUAACGGCUCACCAAGGCGACGAUACAUAGCCGACCUGAGAGGGUGAUCGGCCACACUGGGACUGAGACACGGCCCAGACUCCUACGGGAGGCAGCAGUAGGGAAUCUUCGGCAAUGGGGGCAACCCUGACCGAGCAACGCCGCGUGAGUGAAGAAGGUUUUCGGAUCGUAAAGCUCUGUUGUAAGAGAAGAACGUGUGUGAGAGUGGAAAGUUCACACAGUGACGGUAACUUACCAGAAAGGGACGGCUAACUACGUGCCAGCAGCCGCGGUAA
RNAcentral lists this ribosomal RNA (513 nucleotides) under uncultured bacterium. RNAcentral's name for it is "partial 16S ribosomal RNA". It matches the Rfam family "Bacterial small subunit ribosomal RNA", at positions 28 to 523 of the family's 1533-position model. The record is from RNAcentral.